Molecule: ribosomal RNA, 253 nt
Filed under: uncultured bacterium
Lineage: Bacteria
Description: partial 16S ribosomal RNA
Rfam family: Bacterial small subunit ribosomal RNA
Source: RNAcentral
UACGGAGGGUGCGAGCGUUAUUCGGAAUUACUGGGCGUAAAGCGUGCGCAGGCGGUUCGCCGUGUCCGAUGUGAAAGCCCCGGGCUUAACCUGGGAAUGGCAUUGGAAACUGGCGGGCUGGAGUGUGGCAGAGGGGGGUGGAAUUCCACGUGUAGCAGUGAAAUGCGUAGAGAUGUGGAGGAACACCGAUGGCGAAGGCAGCCCCCUGGGCCAACACUGACGCUCAGGCACGAAAGCGUGGGGAGCAAACAGG